CUCUGAAUCUCCUUGCUUCAAAACCCCACACCUGGAUCCACGUGGAUCCAAAGCCCCCGCACACCUGGAUCCCCCCGGAUUCCAGCGGCACCCGCUCCCUGCAGGGUCUCUCCUGCUUUUCCCGGAGCUCUGGAGCUCCCUGGAUCGCUCCCGGUGUCAGCGAGCAGCGCGGGGAGCCAGCGGCGGGGUGGCGGGAUCCCCUCCGGGAGCCGCUCCAGCGGGGACCGGCCCGGUGCCCGUCCCGGUGCCCAUCCCGGUGCCCAUCCCGGGCCUUCCUGGUGUCCCCUCCAGAGCCAUCCCGGUGCCCCUCUUGGUGCCCAUCCCGGGCUCUCCCGGUGCUCCCCCCGCUGCCCCUCGCUAUCUCUGCUCCCAGUUCCCCUCCCGGGCCAUCCCGGUGCCCCUCCCGGUCUCCCCUCCCGUGCCAACGGCACCGGCGGCCGCUGCCGAGCCCUCGGUGGGGCGGGGCGGUCCCGGAGCCGCGGGAGCCGCGGGAGCCGCGGGCGGCGGAGCGGGGUAAGGGGCGCGGGGGGCGCGGGGGCGCCGCUGCCAGCACAGCCCGGGACACCGGGACACGGCAGGACGGUGUGAUCGGGCUCGGUGUGCGCGGUUCCGGCAGCACCGGGCUCGGUGUGCCCGCCGGGGCUGCGGUGGAGCCGGAGCCUCGCUCGUCCUUGGCAUCGCUUUGCACCGAGGGAUCGGCACCGGCUGGGACCGCGGGGUUUGUCCCAGAGGCUCGGCGAGCCCCGGUUCUGUUCGGUCCCGGGGGUUCCCGGCGUUUGUUGGCGCUCCCAGCUCCCGCUGCUCGGUGCCUGACUUUGGGCCAGUCCCGCUCUCGGGGUGCCCGGGCUGCUCCCCUGCACAACCCGGGGCUCUCGGGGCUUGGGAAAACUGCGGGGACACAAACGCAAAGGGAGAUUCGGGAAUGGAGCUGCAAGGACACAACCAGGGCUCGUUUCCUUGCAGUGGCUUUGGGGUGGGUGACAGCGCUGGCGGCGUUUUGCAAAGUGGAUUGGCACGGCAGUGACACCUGUGCCAGGUGCCUGUUGGCACGGAAUGUGCCACCCUGUCCCACAGCGCUGCUCUGCCAGCUGGGGCAGCCUUGGAGGGAUGGGACAGGAGAACAGAUCCCUGUGCCCUGCGUGGUUUGGUGCUCCAGAGCGGGACGGGGACAGGGCGUGGCUGCUCUGGGGGUGCUUGGGCAUCUCCCACCCAGCCCCUGAGCCCCAGCAGGGCCUGGGGGCUGUGAC
Molecule: long non-coding RNA, 1247 nt
Filed under: Junco hyemalis (dark-eyed junco)
Lineage: Eukaryota; Metazoa; Chordata; Aves; Passeriformes; Passerellidae
Description: lncRNA (ENSJHYG00000000107.1)
Source: RNAcentral